GGGCCCACCAAGGCGACGAUCAGUAGCCGACCUGAGAGGGUGAUCGGCCACAUUGGGACUGAGACACGGCCCAAACUCCUACGGGAGGCAGCAGUGGGGAAUAUUGCGCAAUGGGGGCAACCCUGACGCAGCAACGCCGCGUGAGCGAUGAAGGUUUUCGGAUCGUAAAGCUCUGUUCUGAGGGAAGAUAAUGACGGUACCUCAGGAGAAAGCCCGGCUAACUAC
This 225-nucleotide ribosomal RNA is filed under the name uncultured bacterium. RNAcentral describes it as "partial 16S ribosomal RNA". It matches the Rfam family "Bacterial small subunit ribosomal RNA", at positions 261 to 504 of the family's 1533-position model. The record is from RNAcentral.